GUCUGAGUGGCUCAGUCGGUAAAGCAUCAGACUUCAGCUCAGGUCAUAAUCUCGCAGUCUGUGGGUUCGAGCCCCACAUCGGGCU
This 85-nucleotide transfer RNA is filed under the name Felis catus (domestic cat). It matches the Rfam family "tRNA". Rfam says of the family: Transfer RNA (tRNA) molecules are approximately 80 nucleotides in length. The record is from Rfam by way of RNAcentral. Lineage: Eukaryota; Metazoa; Chordata; Mammalia; Carnivora; Felidae. RNAcentral also lists the same sequence under 1 other name.